Long non-coding RNA from Rhodamnia argentea, 299 nucleotides. RefSeq lists it as uncharacterized. Lineage: Eukaryota; Viridiplantae; Streptophyta; Magnoliopsida; Myrtales; Myrtaceae. The transcript has 2 exons. The record is from RefSeq and is a predicted model, not a curated record.
CAUGCGUAUUCUCUUCUUUACCUCGGUAUCAAGAUCCGAAUUUAACUACUCUGUGCACCUUUCAACUACUUAAUUCUAUUUCAAGUGAACUAAUUAAAUUUACUCCAUCGCUCUUUCACAGCAGCGGCUUUAUUUGCUGAGGAAGCCAGAUGGGAGUGGGGUGGACCUGUCUGCGCAUGACAUUAGUCCUGAUUUAUGAAACCAUCCGAGUCUGUGCAAGUGCAGGUCUUAUUGCCAUUGGCCUCCCCUCCAACCUCAAGAAUCAUUGAAUUCUAUUCAGUGAAAUAAAUUGAUGUCCU